This 1309-nucleotide long non-coding RNA is filed under the name Gallus gallus (chicken). Lineage: Eukaryota; Metazoa; Chordata; Aves; Galliformes; Phasianidae. The record is from RNAcentral.
AGCCACUCCUGUGUGUUAUUGAGUCAUAGUAACUUCAGGAACAACAAGAUUUUUUUGUGUGUUGAAGUGCUCUGUUCAAGGAAAGAAAAAAUAAAGAAGCUGAUUUUUAAUGCAGAAGCAACAUUUUGGAAGAUAUUUGGAAGGUGAAAUUUGGAAGGGCAGAAUGUGAGUAUAUCUAAGUCCGAAAACAUCCUACAGAAAACUUCAAAAAACAGUGAAGUCCAUGGAAGUACCUUAACCGAACUGGGAUCUACGAAAGAGACAACUGUGAGAGCAGAUGAACAACCUUGAGUUUUUUGCAUUCAUCAAUGCAUCAAUGCAAGGCUCAGCUCCUGGGUGAGGGAGAAAAUGAGGAAAAAUGGUACCCGUGGUUCUUCUCUGCUUCUUAGGCACCACCAAUAUGUUUGGACUUCUUCUUCUUCUUCUUUUUUUUAACGAUACCACAGAGUUAUUACUUUUCAUGCAGAAAAUGAGUACAGAAUGAGAACUCAGAAUCACAAUGAUUGAGGCAAUCUGAUCAAUUUCCCCCUGCUCAAGCAGAGCCAUAUAGAGCAGGGUGCCUAGGAUAACAUGCAGAUCACAGCUAAUAUCUCUAUAAUGAAUAUAACGAUAAAUCAUCUCACUCUAUUGAAGGUCUGUUUCAGAAAAUAUUUGUUCAUUAAUUUUCUUAGCAAUAGAGGGCCUUCUACCUUUCUGGUCAGAUAAAAACCUCUGAGGAUGCAAGUGGAAGUGAGAACACUGCAAGUACUAAAGCAGUACAUUUUGUGGCUUCUUGGAAGUAGCUAGAUUUAUGAAAAUGCUUGCUUGCUUGCAGAUGUGUUCUAAGUGGCACUGCAAAAGCCAUGAGCAUAGGUUGGGUACCAUAUCCUCACAUUUACCAUGUGCCUCACAUGUGUUUCUGGGCUAUGCUUAGGCCUCUCACUCCUUAGGUCUGAGUUGAUGUCCUUCGCUGUCUCUCUCCUGACCUAUUGAAAAAUUAUGAUCACUGAUAGCUCUUAGAAACUUCCACCCAAUUGGCAGUGCCUCACCCUGCCUCUGACUUUGGCCCACUGCCUUUUGUUUUUGAUUAAAUAUCAUUAAAAGCUGCUAGAUAGCACUUGCAUACAUUGCUUCACACACCUAUGCAAAAACGGCAGGUUAUGCUUUGUGGCAGUUCACUUUUGAGUUGUACCUUAUUCCUGUUCAGAUAAUAAUUCUCUUUUUUUUUUCUUCCCUUUUAUUUUCCUGUGAUAUAAUCUAAAAAUGUGGCACCCUGCAAUGUUAUUGGAGAUUAAAUUCUUAAUUAUGAAUUUCCUUGCUUUUGUGAGUU